CCUACGGGAUGCAGCAGUAGGGAAUAUUGCUCAAUGGGGGAAACUCUGAAGCAGCAACGCCGCGUGCAGGAAGAAGGUUUUAUGAUUGUAAACUCCUUUUGUUAGAGAAGAUUAUGACGGUAUCUAACGAAUAAGCACCGGCUAAUUCCGUGCCAGCAGCCGCGGUAAUACGGAGGGUGCAAGCGUUACACGGAAUUACUGGGCGUAAAGAGUGCGUAGGCGGGGUAAUAAGUCAGAUGUGAAAUCCUGUAGCUGAAAUUCAGAACUGCAUUUGAAACUGUUACUCUAGAGGGGGGGUGAGGUAGGGGGAAUGUUUGGUGUAGGGGUAAAAUUCGUAGAGAUCAAAAAGAACAACGAUUGCGAAGGCGGCCUGCCAGGAUAUUUCUGACGUUGAUGCACGAAAGCGUGGGGAGCAAACAGGAUUAGAUACCCCAGUAGUC
RNAcentral lists this ribosomal RNA (440 nucleotides) under uncultured bacterium. RNAcentral's name for it is "partial 16S ribosomal RNA". It matches the Rfam family "Bacterial small subunit ribosomal RNA", at positions 338 to 795 of the family's 1533-position model. The record is from RNAcentral.